Molecule: ribosomal RNA, 266 nt
Filed under: uncultured bacterium
Lineage: Bacteria
Description: partial 16S ribosomal RNA
Rfam family: Bacterial small subunit ribosomal RNA
Source: RNAcentral
GCAAGUCGAACGAGAAAGGGACUGCUUGCAGUCCUGAGUAGAGUGGCGCACGGGUGAGUAACACGUAGAUAAUCUACCUUCAAGCCUGGAAUAACUAUUCGAAAGAGUGGCUAAUACCGGAUAAAGUUAAUCAGCAUAAGUUGAUUAAUGAAAGAUUGCCUCUUCUUGAAAGCAAUUGUUUGGAGAUGAGUCUGCGGACCAUUAGUUUGUUGGUGGGGUAAAGGCCUACCAAGACUACGAUGGUUAGCUGGUCUGAGAGGAUGAUC